Molecule: transfer RNA, 69 nt
Filed under: Ascaphus truei (coastal tailed frog)
Lineage: Eukaryota; Metazoa; Chordata; Amphibia; Anura; Ascaphidae
Description: transfer RNA-His
Rfam family: tRNA
About the family: Transfer RNA (tRNA) molecules are approximately 80 nucleotides in length. Their secondary structure includes four short double-helical elements and three loops (D, anti-codon, and T loops). Further hydrogen bonds mediate the characteristic L-shaped molecular structure. tRNAs have two regions of fundamental functional importance: the anti-codon, which is responsible for specific mRNA codon recognition, and the 3' end, to which the tRNAs corresponding amino acid is attached (by aminoacyl-tRNA synthetases). tRNAs cope with the degeneracy of the genetic code in two manners: having more than one tRNA (with a specific anti-codon) for a particular amino acid; and 'wobble' base-pairing, i.e. permitting non-standard base-pairing at the 3rd anti-codon position.
Source: RNAcentral
GUGGAUUUAAUUUAAACAAAAUAUUAGAUUGUGAUUCUAAAUAUAGAAGUUAAACCCUUCUUAUUCACC